This is a non-coding RNA of Gonium pectorale, 46 nucleotides long. The record is from Rfam. NCBI's taxonomy places the organism in Eukaryota, Viridiplantae, Chlorophyta, Chlorophyceae, Chlamydomonadales, Volvocaceae.
AACCCGGUGUUUUUAAACACCACCUCUUGUUGUAUCUCAGGUAUCU